GCAAAUGCAAGCCCUUCUGCUGGGGAUGGAGAUGUGAGAGGUUAGGUUUGUUGCCAGGACCGGGUUCGGGAGGGCAGCCUGUGCCCAGGAGGAGUGGGAACGCAGGGGUCCGCUGCGCGGCGGCGCGGGGAGCAAGCGCAAGCCCCUCCGCACGGCCCGGGGGCUGCGAGCUCCGCUUCACGGCCGGGACCGGGCUCUGGGGAGCCUCCUGUGCUUCAGCAGGGCGAGACAUGCAGCAGUCUUCUGCAAGCACAGGUGUGACAAGGACAACCUCCACCAGGCAAAGGACAGCAAUUGAAGACGUCCUGGCUUGAAGAGCAGCUUGCAGGUCAGAAGCAGAGCCAUCUGUCUCCUGAGGCAGACUUCCAGUG
Molecule: long non-coding RNA, 371 nt
Organism: Pogoniulus pusillus (Red-fronted tinkerbird)
Lineage: Eukaryota; Metazoa; Chordata; Aves; Piciformes; Lybiidae
Exons: 3
Source: RefSeq, a predicted model, not a curated record